AUAUCAUGGAGUGGGAAAAUUAUUGAAACCAUUUUCAGCUAAUAGUUACAUGUACUGAUUUCCGUUAUCACAGCACCUACUUGAAAUUGAAUAUCUACGUUUUAGACAUAUAGAACAAAAAUAAAGAGAAAGAUGAAGAUAUUAUUUGUUUGCUUCUUGUUUGGUCUAGGGACUGCAGGUGUCCUGGGUAGAAGAUGCGUUGUUUAUACGGCGGGUGAAACUAUUCCAGCCAUUCCAAAAGGUUCUGGUAGAACGUGUCAUUCCGUGCCUAAUGACAACAAUAGGUACUGCAUUAAAUGGGAUUGUCCCCCAGCUGACUGUUCUAAUCCCAUUAAACCAAAUAAGGGUUGUCCUUACUGUAAAGGUACAUGUGUGGUUAAUGGUAGCGUGUAUCAAGAAGGGGUGUCAUUCAAAUGUCCUGAUGGGUGUAAUACAUGCACAUGUAGCACUUCGACGCUGAUGGGAUGCGGAACACCACCACCAGAGUGCAGUAACUAAUAACAUUAUACCAUAAGAUACAUUAUGGUAAAAUAAAACAUGAAGUAUUCCA
RNA transcript from Mytilus californianus (California mussel), 550 nucleotides. It is a transcript of the gene named kielin/chordin-like protein, with no coding region annotated. NCBI's taxonomy places the organism in Eukaryota, Metazoa, Mollusca, Bivalvia, Mytilida, Mytilidae. The transcript is spliced from 4 exons. The record is from RefSeq and is a predicted model, not a curated record.